UAACACGUAGGUAACCUGCCCAUGUGUCCGGGAUAACCGCUGGAAACGGUAGCUAAAACCGGAUAGGUAUACAGAGCGCAUGCUCAGUAUAUUAAAGCGCCCAUCAAGGCGUGAACAUGGAUGGACCUGCGGCGCAUUAGCUAGUUGGUGAGGUAACGGCCCACCAAGGCGAUGAUGCGUAGCCGGCCUGAGAGGGUAAACGGCCACAUUGGGACUGAGACACGGCCCAA
RNAcentral lists this ribosomal RNA (230 nucleotides) under uncultured bacterium. RNAcentral describes it as "partial 16S ribosomal RNA". It matches the Rfam family "Bacterial small subunit ribosomal RNA", at positions 111 to 334 of the family's 1533-position model. The record is from RNAcentral.